UCCCUGGUGGUCCAGUAGUUAGGAUUUUAUGCUUUUACUGUUGUGGCCUGGGUUCUAGCCCCGGUCUGGGAA
RNAcentral lists this transfer RNA (72 nucleotides) under Sus scrofa (pig). It matches the Rfam family "tRNA". From Rfam's summary of the family: Transfer RNA (tRNA) molecules are approximately 80 nucleotides in length. The record is from Rfam by way of RNAcentral. Lineage: Eukaryota; Metazoa; Chordata; Mammalia; Artiodactyla; Suidae.